UCAGUGAGAAGUUUAUGGUCAGACUGAACAAGAAUGGAGGUCCCAAAAAUCCAGAAAAGGUUGACCGACUGUGUGCUCUCUUUACGGAUCUAAGCAAUAAGGACAUGAAGCGGGACCUGUAUAUUGUUUCCCAAGUCAUCAGAACUGGUCGGAUGCUGCUGAAUGACACUAAGAAGGGUCCUCCUCACGUCCAGUA
Molecule: long non-coding RNA, 196 nt
Organism: Oncorhynchus gorbuscha (pink salmon)
Lineage: Eukaryota; Metazoa; Chordata; Actinopteri; Salmoniformes; Salmonidae
Exons: 3
Source: RefSeq, a predicted model, not a curated record